GGAGUGUACAGCUCAGUGGUAGAAUAUGUGCUUAGCAUGCACGAGGUCCUGGGUUCAAUCCUCAGUGCCUCCA
Transfer RNA from Camelus ferus (Wild Bactrian camel), 73 nucleotides. It matches the Rfam family "tRNA". Rfam says of the family: Transfer RNA (tRNA) molecules are approximately 80 nucleotides in length. Their secondary structure includes four short double-helical elements and three loops (D, anti-codon, and T loops). Lineage: Eukaryota; Metazoa; Chordata; Mammalia; Artiodactyla; Camelidae. The record is from Rfam.